CAAUCAUCGCCUUGGAAGCUUCAUCACGAUACUACUUUGCAUUUCUGAAGAGGGAAGAAGAAAUCAAUAUGCAAAUUCAAUUCCAUGGUUUUGGAAGUCCCAUUGAGAACACGAUUCAUUUGCGCCGGCACAAUGCUCUGACCGAGAAAGAAUUGAAGGGAAAAAGCAAUGAAAGUGCCGUUCAUGUUUUGCACGGCGAGCUGCUGAAUACUAACCGGUCUCACACCAUAACCAUCACCUUGCCCUUGUGAAGGCAGAUAUGGAUAAGGUUCUCAAAGCUGAUUGAAGAUUGAAACCACUCUCGUCCUGUGACGAUGUGUCAGGACUAUCUUCAAAAUCUGAGAUUGGGUUUUGAAAGACAGCAGUCUUUGUUUUGGAGAGAUAAUGGGAACUGCAGAUGCUGGAGAAUGCGAGAUAACAACGUGUGGAGCUGGAUGAAGACAGCAGGCCAAGCAGCAUCUGAGGAGCACAAAAGCUGACGUUUCGGGCCGAGAAUCUUCUUCAGAAAAUGGGGAGGGGGUGCGGGUUCUGAAAUAAAUAGGGAGAGAGGGGGAGGCGGAUGGAAGAUGGAUGGAGGAGAAGAUAGGUGGAGAGGAGAGUAUGGGUAGGGAGGCAGGGAGGGGAUAGGUCAGUCUGGGGAGGCCGGACAGGUCAAGGGAGCGGGAUGAGGGGAAAUAGGGGUGCGGUAUGAGGUGGGAGGGGCGAUGGGUGAGAGGAAGAAUAGGUUAGGGAGGCGGGGACGAGCUGGGCUGGUUUUGGGAUGCAGUGGCAGGAAAGGAGAUUUGGAAGCUUGUGAAAUCCACACUGAUAGCAUUGGGCUGCAGGGUUCCCAAGCAGAAUAUGAUUUGCUGUUCCUGCAACCUUGGGGUGGCGUCAUUAUGGCACUGCAGGAGGCCCAGGUUGGACAUGUCCUCUCGGGAAUGGGAGGGGGAGUUGAAAUGGUUAGUGACUGGGAGGUGCAGUUGUUUCUUGCAAACUGAGCGUAGGUGUUCUGAAAAGCGGUCCCCAAGCCUCUGCAUCGUUUCCCCAAUGUAGAGGAAGCCACAACGGGGACAGCGGAUGUUUUGGAUAUUUCUGAAGCAUUGAUUUUCAUUCAGAGUUGGUUGGAUUUUGCUGAAGCAAUAGACGUAACUCACUAUGACGUAGACAAUGUCAGAGUUAAUGUUUCGCGUCCUGUGACCCUUCCUCAGAUCUCACUCUUCACUGAUGCUGCCAGACCUGCUGAGCUUUUCCAGCAAGUUCUGCUUUUGUUGCUGAUUUACAGUGCCCACAGUUCUUUUGUUUUUUACGACACAGAAAAAACUUGAUCUCUGCAGGAAGCAUGAUGCUGCAUUCUCCAACUUUGCUGCCUUUUUGAAAUAUAAUAUUGUCUUUUUAGGACAGAAGUGGCUUUUUUUGUUUGUUUUAACUUCGGCACAUACUUUCUAUGCAGGUGAAAAGUCUACACCUUUUCAGUUCACUGCAGUGCUGCAUAAUGAAGACUUGGAACAAUUUUUUUUUAUAAAGUAGAAAAUCAGUGUGGUUCGUUUUCCAAAAUGUGAUUUGUAAGUGCAACACUUAACAGUGUGUUCAUCAAACUAUUGUUUCCUUUGAUCUUUGUGUUGCAGAAAUUUCUAGAAUCAUUUCAUAUAUAUUUUUCUUGAUAUAUUUUAGCAGCUUUCCUGGAGCAAAUCUGUUUUCCUUCGGAUGAGACGACUUUCAGACAUACUCCCUUUAUUUAAUUGCGGUAAAAUGAGGAGGAUUUUUAUUCACUGAGACACACAUGACUAUAUGUUGAAAGCAUUGGAAAAAGCGUUCUGUUCGGACUGUCAUGUUAUCUGGUGUUUGUACCAGGCUUUCCGAUGAAAUGCAAGUGAUUAAGGAUGCUACUGAUGCCACAUGUUAUUACAAGAAGAAAUGAACAUACAAGUAAGGAUUUUAUGCCACAUUUAUACAUAGCAUGGGCCAUGCAGCAUGGAUGCAGUGACUGAGUGAAAUGGGAUGCAGUGACUGAGUGAAAUGGGAUGCAGUGACUGAGUGAAAUGGGAUGCAGUGACUGAGUGAAAUGGGAUGCAGUGACUGAGUGAAAUGGGAUGCAGUGACUGAGUGAAAUGGGACGCAGUGACUGAGUGAAAUGCUCACAGCGAAUUGCCCCCUCCAUCCUGACCCGCUCACAGCGACUUGCCCCUGCAGUCCUGACCUGCUCACAGCGACUUCUCUCUGCAGACCUGACCCACUCACAGCGACUCGCCCCUUCAGUCCUGUCCCAAUCACAAGGACUUGCCCUCUCCGUCCUUACCCGCUCACAGUGACUUGCCCCUGCAGUCCUGACCCCCUCACAGUGACCUGCCCCCUCACUCCUGACCCGAUCUACAUUGAGGAAACCAAGCAGAGGCUUGGGGACCGCUUUGCAGAACACCUCCACUCGGUUCGCAACAAACAACUGCACUUCCCAGUCGCGAACCAUUUUAACUCCCACUCCCAUUCCUUAGACGACAUGUCCAUCAUGGGCCUCCUGCAGUGCCACAAUAAUGCCACCCGAAGGUUGCAAGAACAGCAACUGAUAAUCCGCUUGGGGACCCUGCAACCCAAUGGUAUCCAUGUGGACUUCACCAGCUUCAAAAUCUCCCCUUCCCCAACUGCAUCCCAAAACCAGCCCAGUUCUUCCCCUCCCCCGACUGCAUCACAAAACCAGCCCAGCUGUUCCCUUCCCCCGACUGCAUCCCAAAACCAGCCCAGCCUGUCUCCGCCUCCCUAACAUGUUGUUCCUCUCACCCAUCCCUUCCUCCCACCUCAAGCCACGCCUCAUCCUGCCUCCUUGACCUGCCUGUCUUCCCUGGACUGACCUAUGCCCUCCCUACCUCCUCACCUGUACUCUCCUCCCUACCUAUCUUGUUUUCUCUCCAUCUUCGGUCCGCAUCCCCCCCCUCCCUAUUUAUUCCAGUUCCCUCUCCCAUCCCCCUCUCUGAUGAAGGGUCUAGGCCCAAAAUGUCAGCUUUUGUGCUCCUGAGAUGCUGCUUGGCCUGCUGUGUUCAUCCAGCUCCACACUUUGUUAUGUUGGAUUCUCCAGCAUCUGCAGUUCCCAUUAUCAGUGGCAUUUUCCUCUUCAUCAAAGUUUGUGCAAAAGCAACACGAUAUGGGGCGGCACGGUGGCUCAGCGGUUAGCACUGCAGCCUCACAGCACUGGGGACCCAGAUUCAAUUCCAGCCUCAGGCAACUGUCUGUGUGGAAUUUGCACCUUGUCCCUGUGUCUGCAUGGGUUUCCACCAGGUGCUCCGGCCUCCUCCCACAGUCCAAAGAUGUGCACGCUAGGUGGAUUGGCCAUGCUAAAUUGCCCGUAGUGUUCAGGGGCGUGGGUCUGGGUGGGAUGCUCCAAGGUUUGGUGUGCACUUGUUGGGCCAAAGGGCCUGUAUCCACACUGUAGGGAAUCUAAACAAACCUGUUCCCACAUCUCCAUGUUAUAACCCUGCUGAUCACUGCACACAGAGAUGUUUGAGAACAAAAGGAUAACAAUAAUAUUCAAACCUAGUGCUGGAGAUGUAUUUUAAAUACACGGAGGCCAGUGUCGAUCUCCAAUUCAACUUUUAUUUACAAAUGAACUGUCUUCAACUUUAGCACUGCCUCAUUCAGAGAUAGUUGCCAGGGUGUCAGCAUCUCUCAUGCUCACACUUAUCUGUCAGCCAGGGCUCCCUGAUUUGGGCUGUUAAUAUGGAACAAUCGGGCAACUCAUAUUCUGUGAGGUUCAACUGGCCGACCUGGUCACAAACCAGCGCGGUGUGUUCAUCGAAAAUCAAACGUACUAGAAAGAUACCAUUCCAUACCAGUGUAAAGGAAGGCAUGAGGCUAAACUGGGGAGGGAAGGGAACUGCUUAUUGGGGGUGGCCCAGAGAGUAAAAGAAAAUCGAAUGGGAAGAAGACCAUUUGAGACUGAGGGAGAGAGAUGUAAUUGCCUGAAUGAGGCAUUCCAAUUGCGAAAUGGAUUUUUGUGUAUACACCAUGUUCAGUUUCCCCGAUCUUCAUCUGUACUCCUCUUUAAAUCAUUAGUAUCUGAAAUUUCUGUAUCAUUUCCAAAUGUUCUGUCUCUAAUGUUAUGCUGUUGGAAUUGGUUGAACUGCAGAGAGAUUAUUUAUUUGCACAAAUGUGUUCAGUGAAAUGAGUUGCAUGCUAUAUAUGUAUUAUUCUUCCUGAUUCUAUUGUUUGCAUACAAAUUAAAGUUAGUUCCACUUUUGAACAACAAA
Long non-coding RNA from Stegostoma tigrinum, 4217 nucleotides. RefSeq lists it as uncharacterized. Lineage: Eukaryota; Metazoa; Chordata; Chondrichthyes; Orectolobiformes; Stegostomatidae. The record is from RefSeq and is a predicted model, not a curated record. The transcript has 3 exons.